Long non-coding RNA from Alexandromys fortis (reed vole), 4307 nucleotides. RefSeq lists it as uncharacterized. The record is from RefSeq and is a predicted model, not a curated record. The transcript is spliced from 4 exons. NCBI's taxonomy places the organism in Eukaryota, Metazoa, Chordata, Mammalia, Rodentia, Cricetidae.
CAGUAACCUUCUGUGAGGUCUGGCUCCUGUCAGUUCCUACUGGAGAGGUGGGGAAAGAGGCCGGUUUGGAAUCAUUUAUAUCUUCAGUUGCUCGAACUCCUAAAACAAGCAAACAAUCCCAUUUCUGACAGUUUCUGUACUGGAAAUAGGUUGUGUAAUUUGACCAUAUUUGUUGACUAAUAUCUUGAGGCGAUUUGAGGAAUGAAGCUGUAGGCACUGGGCCAGGGAAAGACAUGCUGCGGGACUUUACGUUCUCAUAUCCCCCCAUGACUGGAAAUGAUGUAACCCAGGGUGAGGGGGCGGUGGUCUGGGGCUCUGCCUGGUGGGGUAGUGUUAGCUGGAGGAAAGGCAGAAGAAGAGAGAUGAAGGUAGAAAUGAGAGCUAGACUGUUCCUGUCCUGAUGACCUUGAAAGGUAACCUUGGGAGAAGAGACUGUGAGGGAGAGAGGAGUGGGCAGAGGAGUCCACACUUUGAUCCCCACAUAGCACAGGACAGAGUUUGGGGGGCAUCACUCUUGUUUCUGUUUCCACAGUCAGGAUCCGGGAAACUAGGACUAGAGACACAACCAUGUGACUGCAAGGCUAGCCUACCCAUCCUGGGCUAGUGCUGGGGCUGCCAUCAACCCCAAUGAGCAGGGACAAGCUAAAGGCUUUCAAGGCUCAUCCUCCUCUGAUGAGCCUUCUUGCCACUUCCCCGAAGAGAUUCUGACACCCCCAUCUCUCUCUGUAGAAUGUCCACUAUCUGUUGCCCCCCCCCACUUUAUUCUACCAGGUCAUUUCCCUAUGUCACUCCACCCUCAGUGGGGACUUCAGGAUGUGGGCAAGGAUGUGGGCUAGGUGCUGUGGAAAUAGCUGAUGUUUAAACACCAAGUCUCUAGAAAGCCCCCUCCCCCAUUGCUCAUAAUGGGUCAGGUCAGCUGGGAUAGACGCUGGGGGAUUUAGCAAAACACAAAAUAAAACACGCAUGUCCUUGUGGAGUUUAUAUUCAAACGGGAAAGACAGCAAAUUAGCUAGAGAUGCCAGCUACUUGAAAGCACUAAGGAGGGGCCAGCAAGAUAGCUCAGUGGCUAAGCAAACUUGCCACUAAGCUUGACAACCUUGGUUCCAUUCCCAGAACCCACAUGGCAGAGCUGACUCCUGAAAGUUGUCCUCUGAGCUCCCACAGACAAAAUAAACAUUUAAAAAAACAUGGAGGAAAAAAAUGGAAACAAAAAUUCCUGGUGUAUUUGAAAGACAGCGAGGAAGAUAAAAGGUUGAAGAGAAGCCGGGAGGGAAGCUGCAGGAAGUGGAUGAGAGAUGUAAGGGUAGGCAUGGCACGGAGGGCCUUGUGGGCCUCAAGUAAGGGACUGGUUACUUGGAAUAACACUGGCAGGCCAGGAAGACCUGCCUUCCCCUGGGGAAAGGUCCCUUUGAGUCUUAUGUGGAGGCGCAUUUUUGGGGUCAUUGGCUAAAGUGGUGAAUCCAGUGGAAAGAUGAUGGCGGUGAGGGGAUGGCCAUGAGAAAUGGUCAGCCAUGGUAUACACUGGAGCCCUUAGAACUUGCUCUUUGGCUAAAUGUGGGUAUGUGGGAGAGAAAGGGAUCAAGGCUAUUUCCCCCAAGGUUUUUGGCCCGUACAACUCUUGCAUGGGAGUUUCUCUAUUUUUCUUUGUUUUGGUUUUGGUUUGUUUGGUUUUUGUUUUUCAAGACACAGGCUUUCUCUGCGUAGCCGUGGCUGUCCUGGAACUCGCUCUGUAGACCAGGCUGGCUUCGAACUCAGAGAUCUGCCUGUUUGUUGUGUACCACCACAGACUUUCUUUUGUUGUUGUUGUUAAAAUAAGUUCUCACCAGGCUAGCGCUGAACUUAAUCUCCUCAUGCUUUAAUAUUUUCUGAAUGCUGAGAUUGCACGUGUGUCAUCAAACCCAGCUCCCCUCAACCUCUUGUGAAGGAGAAUGCUGCUCCUUUAAGGAUGGCACCCCGACUCUCCCCACCAUUCAGCCUCUAUCAUGAUUUCCUAACAUCUCGGCCAUCAUUCAUUUAUUCGUGUUUCUCAAGAAUCCAUUUUUUUUUGGUUGAACUUGUCCUCAAAGGCCAUCAGAGCCCUCUGCGCAUAGUGGGCUCUCAGGAAUAUUUGGUGAAUGACGACUGAUUAAGUGAAUGAAUGCGUGACUCAGAACAGAUGUGUGGGGCCUGUAAACAGGGGUGACCUCUCAGUACCCUGUGGUGAGAGACAGCACAGCUGGAGUGGGGAUGGAAGCCAGGCCUCUGGGAGAGCAGCCCUGCAACAUCUUUUCUCACUUCUCUGUAGCCCCAGGACAGGAGGAGGCCACUGACCCUGUCCUUGUCCCGUUCACAGGAAACUCCGUAUCUUCAGGGAAUGACCUUGGGACAUCUAGCUACGAGACUACUUCAUGCCCCCAAACUUCUGUUGUAUUCAGAGGGCCAGAUCCUCUUCCACCAACAAUGAAUUGAAAGCCUCCUACAUAAGGCAGAUGGUGAUGACACACUGAGGCUUGCUGAACCGAGGGCAGCAGAUCCUACAGGAACCAGGGCUUUUCCCGCUCUGGGAUGAGUGCCCUGGAACUCACUGGCCCUACCUGAUGUCUGGGACUCCUGUCUGCUCAGGGCCACACAGAGGAUGGAAGACAGAGCCUACCAUCCUGGCUCUUGUGUUUGCUACUUUAUGCGCGGAAGGAACAAGAACUCUGGAUGAAGGGGGAUGGCCCGAGACUCCUUGUGGUGGUGUCAACCUGACAAAAACCUAGAAUCCGCUGGGAGACAGGCCCCUGGAUAUACCCACGGGUUACAGGAAGACCCACCUUCAUUGUGGGCAGGAGAUAGUGGACUGUAUUUGUAGCUGGAGGGAGUGCUGGUAUUUGUAGCUGGAGGGAGGGCUGAGCACAAGCGUGCAUGCAUUCAUCGCUCUCCCGGUAACUGCUUCCACUCCUGAUGGCUCAGCUUCUCCGCCCUGAUCAACUGAAACCCUAACUGUGGCCCUGCUGUUGCUUGUUGUUUCUGGGGUGUCAUGAGGCUAGAACUCUGCCCCUCACCUCUGGGACAGGACACAAAGUCAGAGCUGAAACAUCUCCGGGAUGCCCUGCGGAACCUGUGCAGCUGCCUAGGCUCUGUGUCGAGCAGCUCCAACAGCACCGUAAACUCUGACUAUACCUUAUUUUGUUUUGUUUUUUUAUUUAUUUUUUGAGACAGGGUCUCAAUAUGUAGCACUGGCUAGAAGCUUUUGCCUAUUUUGCUCAAACUUCUAAAGCGUACCUGGCACACAGUAAGUGUUUAAUAAAGAUUGGUGUUGAACACUUCUGGAGCUGGGCAGGCUGAGGCUUUGGUUUCCGUAGUGCAGCAGAAAACAGGGAAACCAGGCACUCUCAACCCUACGUGUUGGAGUGGGAAAACUCAAAGUGGCAGAUGCUGUGCAGAGCGACUCACACACCUGCAGGAGGCGGGACGUGGGGCGGGUCUGGCCCAGGGCAACCGUGGCAAAGGGGACUUCCGGCUGCCCAGCCUCUGCAGCUCUUGAUAUUUGCUAAAACUGUUCCUACUGGGUUCAAUUUACUCUGCAGAUAAAUCUCAUUGCCAGCCAAAUGCCGUCAGGAGGAGUCACUCAGUCUUCUCGCUCCCCACUCCCCGCUCCAAGGCGGCAGCAUCCAGAUCCCUCUCUUUCUAUUUCGGUCCCUCUGGCAGCAUACCUCGGAUGACCUCCCUCCUCCAGCCUCCUCCUUUGGGUCCCUCACGGAGCCUGGCUUGGUUAUAUCAGCCAUCCCACUGCUUCUCCCUCAGCCACUGCCCCCUCUCUGGGCUCGACACAUCUUCUUCUUCACCGAGGUCAUAGCAUGCAUGGCUAAGGGUGUGGCCACCAAAGACGGGCUGCCUGAGUUCAAAUCCUGAAUGGACCAAGUUGGGUGAAGCCUUUAACUGCUCUGUGCCAGUUUCCCCCUCCAUAAGGUGGGGUGAUGAGGACAGUUUUCUUGAUAAGGAAUGUAUUUUAUAUGAGCAUAUAUUAAAUAAUAGCUGUGCAUCGGGCUCUCUUCUACGAACUUUUCCUGUAGAAGCACUUAAUUCCCACAAACUCCUAGGGGAAGGUUUAUUUAUUAAUUCACUCGUUUAUUUAAAACUAAUUUUAAAAACACGGUCUCUUAUAGCCCUCACUGGCCUUGAACUCACUCUUUAGGCAAGGAUGACCUUGAACUCCCAAUCUUCCUGAAAGUACAGGUGUUAGCCACUAUGCCCUGCUGCAAAAAGUAUCUCUAUUAUUAUUACAACCGAGGUAACAGAGGCACAGAGAGAUAUAGUAUCUUCUCCCGUGCUGUGCAACCAGA